RNAcentral lists this ribosomal RNA (348 nucleotides) under uncultured bacterium. RNAcentral's name for it is "bacterial SSU rRNA". It matches the Rfam family "Bacterial small subunit ribosomal RNA", at positions 29 to 362 of the family's 1533-position model. The record is from RNAcentral.
AACGAACGCUGGCGGCGUGGAUAAGACAUGCAAGUCGAACGGGAUAACAUCUGUAGCAAUACAGGUGUUAUUUAGUGGCGAACGGGUGCGUAACACGUGGGCAAUCUGCCGAGAAGUGGGGGAUAGCUCGCCGAAAGGCGAAUUAAUACCGCAUAUGAUCAGCUAAGACAUCUUAGCGACAUCAAAGCCGGGGCAACCUGGCGCUUCUUGAUGAGCCCGCGGCCUAUCAGCUAGUUGGUGAGGUAACGGCUCACCAAGGCUAUGACGGGUAGCUGGUCUGAGAGGACGACCAGUCACACUGGAACUGAGACACGGUCCAGACACCUACGGGUGGCAGCAGUCGAGUAA